Danio aesculapii is the source of this 1116-nucleotide long non-coding RNA. RefSeq lists it as uncharacterized. The transcript is spliced from 3 exons. The record is from RefSeq and is a predicted model, not a curated record. Lineage: Eukaryota; Metazoa; Chordata; Actinopteri; Cypriniformes; Danionidae.
AAUGUGUACUAAUCAUAAAUACAAUUUGCUAUUUGAUUAAUAUCAUCACAGAUAUGUUUCUAUAUGUCAGUGUGCAGUGUGUGUUUCAGACAGCAGAGGGCAGUACAUGCCACAAUUUGAUGCUAAUCCAAAGUGGCAGUUGCCACCUAAAAAUAGGCUUUGCCAGUGGAUAAAAGCUCUUUAUUUAUUUUAUUUUAGCCCAGAUAUUUACCAGACGAAAUAAGUGUUGUUUCAGCGUGUUAAACUGUUGCAGUUCAAACUGAUAUUCCGUCACUGGUUUUACUAUGAAACAUUUCGAAGUGCUUUUAAGGGUAGUUCAAGUCUCUGUGAUCUUUCAUUUGAAAACACACAAAGGCUGCUUUAUCUUUCGCCACCCACCGCUUUCAUUCUGUCUUGUGUUGUGUCCUCAAAUCCUCCAUGUCCUUGACUCUCUUUCAGUCUCUCUCUCUCUCUGUCAGGUUGGACUCGUCAGUUCAGUCAGCUGGAUGGAAACACGGCUUAAAUCUGUGCACUGGGAACACAGGGAACCCCAUGGGUUUUAAAAUAUUCCUCACUUUCCUCCGCAAUGCGUUGGCAUUUGAAGUUGCUGCUCUUCCUACAGAAACAACCUGGGCUAAGAGGAUUACAUUUACACAUUUAAAUAACCCCAACAAAUGAGGACUGUGUUCCUCAGUGCGUGAGGACACACAGGAGACUCGGACGUCACGGUCAUGUCCCACUACCCAAAAUACACAACUACUAAAGGGGAGGUUGCACUGUUUAUGGAUAUAAAUAGAGCUGCCCCUGAUUAGGCGCAUUAAACAUGACGAAUUGUUCCCUUCAGGACCUGGUCUGGAGAGGGGCCUGAAAAGUUAAUCUGCAUGAGUUGGAGCUUCACAUGAGGGCAAAACAAGAAUUUGUCACACUGACCAAAAGAAAGCUGCUUGGUUUGAAAUCGACUAUUUUGGUGAGCUGUAGACAAUGGACCUUUAUGCCUUGUGGAAUUUUGUGAAUUUUUGCUAAUGUGCCAUGUUUAUUCUCCUUCCGCUUGUUACAUUUGACUUCAUAUGUCAAAGUUUCUGUGUCCAAAUGCUCUGUCAGAUGCUGAAAGUAAGCAAUAAACUUUAUUAAUAUGCA